RNAcentral lists this long non-coding RNA (739 nucleotides) under Homo sapiens (human). RNAcentral describes it as "non-protein coding lnc-EML1-3:3". Lineage: Eukaryota; Metazoa; Chordata; Mammalia; Primates; Hominidae. The record is from RNAcentral.
UUUUUAUUUGAGAUCUGCCUUGCUUAUUUCACAAAGAGUUGCAACCCGAAUGCUGAAGAUUUCUUCUCUCCUCUCUCCCCAACCUGCACAGUUCUGGUAGGGGGUGGGAUGUGUUACAUGCUUUACCCAGGAUCCCAGGCGUGCGUCUUCAUUAUUUUUAGUAGUAAUCUCAUCGCCGGUCUGUUUUCUGGAAAGUGCCCUGAUAGUGUUUUGUUGGAGCCUUUCAUUACGUUUCAUGGUUAGGGAAGAGGGUUAUGUAUGAACACAUCCACUCGCAUCUCCCAAAGUGCUGGGAUUACAGGCAUGAGCCACCGUACCCAGCCUCCUUUUGCCUUUUUUAAAAACUUUCUUAGACAUCCUUCAGGCAGCCAUGUGGCUUGCUGGAGAUGAAAACACAGUCCACAUCAGAACUUGUCCUAAACUCUGGGCCCAUAUAUCCAUCUGCUACACAGUUGGCGGGGCGUGGUGGCUCACGCCUGUAACCCCAGCACUUUGGGAGGCAGAGGCGGGUGGGUUACCUGAGGUCAAGAGUUCAAGACCAGCCUGACCAACAUGGAGAAACCCCUACUAAAAUACAAAAUACAAAAAUACAAAAUUAGCCAGGCAUAGUGGCGCAUGCCUGUAAUCCUAGCUACUCGGGAGGCUGAGGCAGGAGAAUCGCUUGAACCUGGGAUGCAGAGGUUACGGUGAGCCGAGAUCGGGCCACUGCAUUUCAGCCUGAGCAAUAACAGUGACACUC